This is an RNA transcript of Nannospalax galili (Upper Galilee mountains blind mole rat), 1498 nucleotides long. It is a transcript of the gene named decapping exoribonuclease, with no coding region annotated. Lineage: Eukaryota; Metazoa; Chordata; Mammalia; Rodentia; Spalacidae. The transcript has 7 exons. The record is from RefSeq and is a predicted model, not a curated record.
UGGAGGCUGGCGCUCAAUAGCGCCCGAGCCGCCUCCUGCUCCAGUGGAGGCCGUCGGCGUCCGAUGGCGUCAUCAGAAGCCGAAACCCUUCUUUGGCAUCGCCCCCCACCCCCGGCUUCCGACGUGCUGCGGUGACGCCAUAGCUUGCGGAGGUGCAUGUCAGGGUUGGGGGCUUCGAGGACCUUAUGGAGUCCAAAGAGGGCAAGAGGAAGGCCGAGGACACGGAGGUGGCCGAGCCCCGGAGCAAGCUCUUGCGCUCCUCAGCCUCGCUGCGCACGGAGCCCGCCCUGUACCGCGGGCCCUUCCCCUUCUACCGGCGCCCCUCGGAGGUGGGCUGCUUCUCCCUGGACGCGCAGCGCCGGUACCACGGCGACGCCCGCGCCCUCCGCUACUACAGCCCUCCUCCGGCCCACGGCCCGGGCCCGGACUUUGACCUCAGGGAUGGAUAUCCUGAUCGCUACCAGCCCCGGGAUGAGGAGGUCCGGGAGAGCUUGGACCACCUGCUCCGCUGGGUUCUGGAACACCGAGGCCGACUGGAGGGGGGUCCAGGCUGGCUAGCAGGGGCCAUAGUGACAUGGCGAGGACACCUGACAAAACUGCUAACCACCCCCUACGAGCGGCAGGAGGGCUGGCAGCUUGCGGCCUCCCGUUUCCAGGGGACACUCUACCUGAGUGAGGUGGAGACGCCUGCUGCUCGGGCCCAGAGGCUCACUCGGCCACCCCUCCUCCGUGAGCUCAUGUACAUGGGCUACAAGUUUGAGCAGUACAUGUGUGCAGACAAACCCGGAGGCUCCCCAGAUCCCUCUGGGGAGGUUAACACCAACGUGGCCUUCUGCUCUGUGCUGCGAGGCCGCCUGGGAAACCAUCCUCUGCUCUUCUCCGGGGAGGUAGACUGCACAGACCCCCAGGCUCCAUCCGCACAGCCUCCUGCCUGCUAUGUGGAGCUCAAGACCUCCAAGGAGAUGCACAGCCCCGGCCAGUGGAGGGGCUUCUACAGACACAAACUCCUGAAAUGGUGGGCCCAGUCAUUCCUCCCAGGGGUCCCAAAUGUUGUCGCUGGCUUCCGUAACCCAGAAGGUUUUGUGUGUUCUCUAAAGACCUUUCCUACCAUGGAGAUGUUUGAACACGUCAGGGUAAGGCAGGGUGUCACUGCUCCCACCCAUCUCCCCCUACCUGCCCUGCACCAAGACCCCUGUCUAGCAUCCCUUGCUGCGGUAUGCCUUCCCCUCCUCCCACCCCCACAGUCGUCUGCCUGUCCCCUCAGAAUGACCGCGAUGGCUGGAACCCCUCCGUGUGCAUGAACUUCUGUGCUACCUUCCUCAGCUUUGCCCAGAACACAGUUGUCCAGGAUGACCCCAGGUAAGGCUUGUCCACCUCUUCUCCUGGGAGCCUGGUGGCCCAGUCACCGUGUCUGUGCAUCAAGAUGCACCCUAUACCUUCUUGCCUACGUGGUAUGUGGACGCUCUGACCCAGGAUCUCCCAUCCCCCCCAAAGACAC